AGAGUUUGAUCCUGGCUCAGAACGAACGCUGGCGGCAGGCUUAACACAUGCAAGUCGAGCGCAUCCUUCGGGGUGAGCGGCAGACGGGUGAGUAACGCGUGGGAAUCUACCCAUCUCUACGGAAUAACGCAUGGAAACGUGUGCUAAUACCGCAUACGACCUUCGGGUGAAAGUAGGGGAUCGCAAGACCUUACGCGAUUGGAUGAGCCGAUGUCGGAUUAGCUUGUUGGUGAGGUAAAGGCUCACCAAGGCGACGAUCCGUAGCUGGUCUGAGAGGAUGAUCAGCCACACUGGAACUGAGACACGGUCCAGACUCCUACGGGAGGCAGCAGUGGGGAAUAUUGGACAAUGGGCGCAAGCCUGAUCCAGCCAUACCGCGUGAGUGAAGAAGGCCUUCGGGUUGUAAAGCUCUUUUGUUGGGAAAGAAAUCCUGUCGGUUAAUACCCGGUAGGGAUGACGGUACCCAAAGAAUAAGCACCGGCUAACUACGUGCCAGCAGCCGCGGUAAUACGUAGGGUGCAAGCGUUAAUCGGAAUUACUGGGCGUAAAGCGUGCGCAGGCGGAUUGUUAAGCAAGAUGUGAAAUCCCCGGGCUUAACCUGGGAAUGGCAUUUUGAACUGGCAGUCUAGAGUGUGUCAGAGGGGGGUGGAAUUCCACGUGUAGCAGUGAAAUGCGUAGAUAUGUGGAGGAACACCAAUGGCGAAGGCAGCCCCCUGGGAUAACACUGACGCUCAUGUACGAAAGCGUGGGUAGCAAACAGGAUUAGAUACCCUGGUAGUCC
This 781-nucleotide ribosomal RNA is filed under the name uncultured bacterium. RNAcentral describes it as "bacterial SSU rRNA". It matches the Rfam family "Bacterial small subunit ribosomal RNA", at positions 8 to 796 of the family's 1533-position model. The record is from RNAcentral.